CUGCCCUAUACAGGGGGAUAACAGUUGGAAACGACUGUUAAUACCGCAUAAGCGCACAGGAGCGCAUGCUCCGGUGUGAAAAACUCCGGUGGUAUAGGAUGGACCCGCGUCUGAUUAGCUGGUUGGCGGGGUAACGGCCCACCAAGGCGACGAUCAGUAGCCGGCCUGAGAGGGUGAACGGCCACAUUGGGACUGAGACACGGCCCAAACUCCUACGGGAGGCAGCAGUGGGGAAUAUUGCACAAUGGGGGGAACCCUGAUGCAGCGACGCCGCGUGAGCGAAGAAGUAUUUCGGUAUGUAAAGCUCUAUCAGCAGGGAAGAAAAUGACGGUACCUGACUAAGAAGCCCCGGCUAACUACGUGCCAGCAGCCGCGGUAAUACGUAGGGGGCAAGCGUUAUCCGGAUUUACUGGGUGUAAAGGGAGCGCAGGCGGCGCGGUAAGUCUGAUGUGAAAGCCCGGGGCUCAACCCCGGGACUGCAUUGGAAACUGUCGUGCUGGAGUGUCGGAGGGGCAAGUGGAAUUCCUAGUGUAGCGGUGAAAUGCGUAGAUAUUAGGAGGAACACCAGUGGCGAAGGCGGCUUGCUGGACGACAACUGACGCUGAGGCUCGAAAGCGUGGGGAGCAAACAGGAUUAGAUACCCUGGUAGUCCACGCCGUAAACGAUGA
RNAcentral lists this ribosomal RNA (668 nucleotides) under uncultured bacterium. Its description in RNAcentral is "bacterial SSU rRNA". It matches the Rfam family "Bacterial small subunit ribosomal RNA", at positions 126 to 812 of the family's 1533-position model. The record is from RNAcentral.